Molecule: ribosomal RNA, 447 nt
Filed under: uncultured bacterium
Lineage: Bacteria
Description: bacterial SSU rRNA
Rfam family: Bacterial small subunit ribosomal RNA
Source: RNAcentral
CCAGACUCCUACGGGAGGCAGCAGUGGGGAAUAUUGGGCAAUGGGCGCAAGCCUGACCCAGCAAUGCCGCGUGAAGGAAGAAGGCCCUCGGGUUGUAAACUUCUUUUAUCAGGGACGAAGGAUGUGACGGUACCUGAUGAAUAAGCUCCGGCUAACUACGUGCCAGCAGCCGCGGUAAUACGUAGGGAGCAAGCGUUAUCCGGAUUUACUGGGUGUAAAGGGCGCGUAGGCGGGAACUUAAGUUAGAUGUGAAAACUCCGGGCUUAACCUGGAGACUGCAUUUAAAACUGGGUUUCUUGAGGGCAGGAGAGGAAAGUGGAAUUCCUAGUGUAGCGGUGAAAUGCGUAGAUAUUAGGAGGAACACCAGUGGCGAAGGCGACUUUCUGGACUGUACCUGACGCUGAGGCGCGAAAGCAUGGGGAGCGAACAGGAUUAGAUACCCUAGUA